Molecule: long non-coding RNA, 994 nt
Organism: Melitaea cinxia (Glanville fritillary)
Lineage: Eukaryota; Metazoa; Arthropoda; Insecta; Lepidoptera; Nymphalidae
Exons: 4
Source: RefSeq, a predicted model, not a curated record
GCCUCUCGGCCGUUGUAUGAGGAGCUUGUGUCGUUUGAUGCGACGCGCGCGCAUUUAUUGUUUAUUAAUUUAUUUUUAUUGACCCCACAAUUUUGACAUUUGUGUGAUAGGACACUGUAGACACUUUAGUUUUACAAGUGAACGAAAGGACGCAUUUACUUAUUUGCUUGUGCAAAUACUGUUUAUUUAGUUUUAUAAGCGAGCGAAAGGACGAAAUAACUACCUAUUUGUUUACUUGUGUAAAUUGAAUAUGCCGAAAGUAUCAAAAGUGAAAUGAUAUCAGCAACAAAGGCUCACGGAAAUAAAAAUCGCAGUAGCUCAAAGAAAAAGACAGGUACUACAACAACUCGAUGUAAAUAUAGAAAACCAAGAUUUAACUUCAGAAAAUUGUCAACUUCGAACUUGCGAUGUCACACAGACUACCUUCAAAAAAGUGCCACAAGGUCUAGAUUUAACUACGCCUAUGGCACAUAAGAAUAAGUUUGCAGAGUCAACUAAUGGGUUUAAUUCAACCUAUUGUCAUGGAUUAGAAAGUGAAGAAAAAGAGUAUACUGUUACUACGGAACCGGAAGAAAUUAUAUCCGAUAAACACGUCGGAAGGAAGAUUGUGGCCAUAUCUCAAUUCAAAAAUUACUCAACUUUUGUAAACAUGGCCAUCUAGCGUAUUCAUCGAAUGAUAUAAUACUAACAGGAGAAAAUCAAAAUAGUCUGAUAUCAUUAUUUACUUUUCAGUGUAAAAUGUAUAACGUAACUCUUACAAUCGAAAAUGAUAUUAUUAUGAAUUAAUUUGAAUGCAUGUGCAGUAGCUGGUACCAUCGCAAUAGGAUGUGGCCGGUCACAACUUGAAGAAGUGUUGUCAGCUAUAAAUUUGCCUAGUUUCACUGAAAAUACAUACGACCACAAUCACAAGGUUAUUGGCAAACAUCGUCAUCUCAUUGAGGUGAAAUGUCCCAUUACAGCGCAUAGAAUCGGCAUAGACGAAGCUAUUAGGAAG